AGUGACUUAGUGAAUAAUGCAACUAACUUUAAACCAGUAGGUUACAGGUUCGAAUCCUUUAUUUACUU
Non-coding RNA from Schistosoma margrebowiei, 68 nucleotides. The record is from Rfam. Lineage: Eukaryota; Metazoa; Platyhelminthes; Trematoda; Strigeidida; Schistosomatidae.